AUGAACGCUGGCGGCGUGCCUAAUACCUGCAAGUCGAGCGAACAGACGAGGAGCUUGCUCCUCUGACGUUAGCGGCGGACGGAUGAGUAACACGUGGAUAACCUACCUAUAAGACUGGGAUAACUUCGGGAAACCGGAGCUAAUACCGGAUAAUAUAUUGAACCGCAUGGUUCAAUAGUGAAAGACGGUUUUGCUGUCACUUAUAGAUGGAUCCGCGCCGCAUUAGCUAGUUGGUAAGGUAACGGCUUACCAAGGCAACGAUGCGUAGCCGACCUGAGAGGGUGAUCGGCCACACUGGAACUGAGACACGGUCCAGACUCCUACGGGAGGCAGCAGUAGGGAAUCUUCAGCAAUGGGCGAAAGCCUGACGGAGCAACGAAGCGUGAGUGAUGAAGGUCUUCGGAUCGUAAAACUCUGUUAUUAGGGAAGAACAAAUGUGUAAGUAACUAUGCACGUCUUGACGGUACCUAAUCAGAAAGCCACGGCUAACUACGUG
Molecule: ribosomal RNA, 496 nt
Filed under: uncultured bacterium
Lineage: Bacteria
Description: partial 16S ribosomal RNA
Rfam family: Bacterial small subunit ribosomal RNA
Source: RNAcentral